UACGUAGGGUGCUAGCGUUGUCCGGAAUCAUUGGGCGUAAAGAGCGUGUAGGCGGCCCGGUAAGUCCGCUGUGAAAGUCGGGGGCUCAACCCUCGAACGCCGGUGGAUACUGUCGGGCUAGAGUGCGGAAGAGGCGAGUGGAAUUCCUGGUGUAGCGGUGAAAUGCGCAGAUAUCAGGAGGAACACCGAUUGCGAAGGCGGCUCGCUGGGACGUAACUGACGCUGAGACGCGAAAGCGUGGGGAGCGAACAGG
RNAcentral lists this ribosomal RNA (253 nucleotides) under uncultured bacterium. RNAcentral describes it as "partial 16S ribosomal RNA". It matches the Rfam family "Bacterial small subunit ribosomal RNA", at positions 524 to 776 of the family's 1533-position model. The record is from RNAcentral.